UACGUAGGGUGCAAGCGUUGUCCGGAAUUAUUGGGCGUAAAGAGCUCGUAGGCGGUUUGUCGCGUCUGCCGUGAAAGUCCGGGGCUCAACUCCGGAUCUGCGGUGGGUACGGGCAGACUAGAGUGCGGGUAGGGGAGAUUGGAAUUCCUGGUGUAGCGGUGGAAUGCGCAGAUAUCAGGAGGAACACCGAUGGCGAAGGCAGGUCUCUGGGCCAUUACUGACGCUGAGAAGCGAAAGCAUGGGGAGCGAACAGG
This 254-nucleotide ribosomal RNA is filed under the name uncultured bacterium. RNAcentral's name for it is "partial 16S ribosomal RNA". It matches the Rfam family "Bacterial small subunit ribosomal RNA", at positions 524 to 776 of the family's 1533-position model. The record is from RNAcentral.